RNAcentral lists this unclassified non-coding RNA (1165 nucleotides) under Bombus terrestris (buff-tailed bumblebee). RNAcentral's name for it is "misc RNA ENSBTSG00005029337.1". Lineage: Eukaryota; Metazoa; Arthropoda; Insecta; Hymenoptera; Apidae. The record is from RNAcentral.
GUAAAUUUCUGCGUCAUUUUUCAUAUACAUAAGUAUUAAUUAUAUCUUGUUGCGGUAUUGCCAAGCUGUUUAAACUGUUUGCCAGACUAGUUUGGGUUUUAAAAGUUUUAGUUGUAAAAGUUGUAAAAGUAAUAUGUAUCUACCGACUUGCUGGUAUUUGCUUCUAUUUUUCAUAUUCUCAACAAAGCUGCGAUUUCAUUGAGACGCGAUUACAAUUUCUCCGAGAUUUCUACGUCUAGAUUAGGCUAUGCCCGGGGCUAAGAUUGAUACGUUGUCGAAAUAUGUUACAAUUACUGUAUUGCUCUUUCCAUAUGUCGGCGGCAAGGACAGUGUAGAAUACUGGGCCCAGUACGCUUCCUUGUGGAACACCGGAGCGUAUUAGAUCUAGGUCGAAGCUACGUUGAGACGCUGCUUGGUUGCGUGCCUCGAUCAAUGGGUUAUAUCUCUUCGAAGGUGACGUCACUGACUUCGAUGGAGCGAUACACUUCCGCUGUUGGCUUCGAUGUAAACACGUGGCACUGUGUGGUCACUGAGCAAGUCUAGAGCGCAAGUGGAAGAGGGAUGAAAUGAGCCUCCUGAUGUCGUAGAAGAAGUAUAGAGAUGAAGUGACUGUUCUGUAGUGAUGAGAGCAAGUCUAGAGGGAUGAAGCGACUGCUCUGUCGCGAUGAGAACAAGUUUAGAGCACAAGUUGACUGUCCUGUGGUCCCGAGAACAAGUUUAGAGCAUAAGUUGACUGUUCUGUAGUCCCGAGAACAAGUGAAGUUCGUUCUUAUAUGGUUACGGAGGAAAGCUCGAUAAGAGUGUGUCCUUUGAACGAAGAACGUGGAUUCGUUGCUCACACUUUUCGUUAGGAAAGUGAGGGUAACGAUUCACGAUGCCGAUUGAUUACGACCAACGUUUGAAAUGAAGAUAGGAAGAAGAAGCCUCCUACCAACGUGGCACAUGGGCGACAUUGUUUAUGGAAAACCAGCUUUUCCAUUAGACAACUAUUCGUUUUUUCCAUAAGGCCGAGGCUAUACGUCGAGCGCAUUCUGCCACCCACGAUCUUCUGAAGCUCUUCAAAGUGCAAAAUCGCUUGAAAAAUGGAACGCCUGGUAGGAUAAUCCAUAGUUGAUUAUUGGAAAAUGUUUGGUGAAAAUUGGAAUUUUUUACCGCAUCGUUCGAA